GGCGGAGCGGCCGUUAACGGCAACGCGGAGGGCGGCGGCCCCGGCCCAACGGUCGCGGGGGAGGUGUGCUCCCCCUUGAAGUGCUGUGUCCGGCUUGGGAGUCCCCAGCGGAAGGACAUGGACCUGUUGCAGCAGGUGGGAAGAGCCGGCUCAUCUCUGUCUCUUACCUGCGGUAUGGCUGACCCACUGAUGUGCACUUAAUCUCACCCAAGCUAACUAUGUAUGCAGCUGCUUGAAAUUAAGCACCGAGAGACCGAAUUUCAAACAUAUUACUAAUUUCAAGAAAACACCACAUACGAAGGUUCAUUUAUAAAAGGUCAGUAAAUGCUUUAACAGAUUUUGUAACAAAUAAUAGUCAUUUGUCUCAUAUUUUGAUAAAGACUGCAACAGGUUAAUAGGCUGUUUAUUGCCAUGGUUUAUCACCAGCUAUGAUGUCUUCUACUGAUGUGCUUGUAGUAUUUCCAGUGUAUCCCACUCUGUUUUAAACAUGCUAAUAAUUAAUAAUGUGCAAUCUUUGUAAGUCCCCUUAAAAUGCAACUAGGAUAUAACCUUUAUUGAAAAAAGAUGCAAACAGGUGCUCUCUCUUGUAUUUAAUGGAGUGGAUUUAAUACUGAAAAAAAUGUGCUUCCAGCCAAAGAACAGGCCCUUGUGUGUGUUGGUUGUGCAAACGACGUUUGACAGUUGUAAUGAACUCAUACUAUGAAACUCUAAUAUCCACUGAAGGCUAUCUAUGGCGAAUUACUAAUGCCUUCUAAAUUAAGGUCUAUAAUUGCACUCUGGUGAUUAAUGUAUUAAAUUACUGAUUUCUUACAUGUAAGACACUUAGCAAAUGUGUAUCUUAUUGUACCUCUGGGCUCACCUAUAAUGUACAAUAGGCAGGUGAAACACAUGAUCAUUUCCCACAGGCUUCUUCUAAAGCAGGCUUCUACCCAUGCAAGAUCAACUCUGUAAUAAGGUCAUUAUUUCUGGAGACAUGCAUUUUCAUGUCUUGCAUAGGUAAUAACAUUUAGUUCCUUUACCUUAUGAGUCUCAGUUAGAAUUAUCAUAUUAAAUACCAAGAAUUAUUUGAUUUUUUCCCACCUGGAUUUCACAACAAACAUAGGAAAAUCUGUGAUCUUCUUAAUAAACCUCCAGCUUUAAAAAAAAAAAAAGAAAAAAGCCAGUGUGGUUUGUGUUGAGUGUUUGGAGAAAUAUUAAAGCGUUUUAGAAAGCUUUUAUCAAAGCAGUGAACUCAACAGUUUGUCCACAGAAUGGACAGAAUAAUAAAAGGUAAAUUUCUACUUGUACAAAGAUAAUUAUUCUCCAUUUAUAUGUAUAGAAAAAUACAAAAUGAGCCUCUGCAACUGAAUUUUUUCCUGUUUAGGUAGCAUCGGAUUUGAUCUGAAUGUGCUUCUGUGAGCUUCAUUCUUGGUGACACUGAAGACUUUGGAGAGGCAAGUUUUUGCAUUUAUAUUCCUUUAUAGCCUUGGCUACCGCUGGGUUCAAUUACAAAUAUGACUGUGUUAAUUUAAGCAAAAAAGAGAAAAGCAAGAUCAGUAAAGUCUAACUGAGCAAAGUUUGAUCAAUUGAUGAAAGUGCUUUGUUAGUUCUCAGCAUAAGAAUAAUUCAACAUAUUACAUUUUAGCUUGAAAAUGUGUAUAUUUUCAUUUUAACACAUAUUGAAAGCAAAGUUUUGUCUGCUGAAAUUAGCGUGGUCAGAUCUUGGCAAACCAACUCAGAGCUGUGCUUACCCUGCUUUGGAUUCUUAAAAAUAAGAUAAAAAAUAUGCAAAAGGGUAGUGUCUGAGGAACUGACUCAGCCUGCUCUGCUUCUCUCCAAGGUCUGCAGUAGAAAAACGUACUCCCACACUUAAAAUACAUAUAUAUGUGAAAUAUAGCCUGGGAUUGUCUGACCUCUGCAGCUGUACAGGGCAAAUCCCUGUUUCAGGCCCUGCUGCCAGGCCAGCCGGACGCAGCAGCAGCUUUCCCCUGCGGCCGCUCAGACUAGAAGGAGACUUUUGUUCAGGCGGUGCCCGCUGGCCAGGCAGCUGUUCCCCGUGUUCCACAAAGAAAAGCUGAGCAGAGCUGAAAACUGGUUUUACACUAACCUAAAUACCUUUCAAACGUUGGGACUGUAGUAAAUGGGCUUGUGGCAGCUUUCAUGUUAUUGAAUUGUCUGGCAUUUGUAUGGGAGUGUACAUACACACGCACACGUGCAAGCUCAGGUCUCUGCCCACAGAACCCCCCACGCCCCCCCGGAAUAACACAGCGCGCACAGUAUCACGUAAGACAGGUGAGAGGGAGCCCCAAGAAGUAAUACCCGCAGCGUUAACAAAAAGGGAAGAUGAAGGUAAAAAAUCCAUCGGUAACACCAAAAGAAAUGUCCCGUGAAAUUGAAAAUUGUGCAUGCUGACAAUAUGCCAAGACUCUGCAUUCAAUUGGGAUUUAAAAGUCAGCACCUCCACGACAGCUUCGUGACUCCUCUUGCUCUCGAGACACCUGCCUGUUAACAACAGCGUAUUCAGCUGGAAUGGCUGGAUUGCUCCAUUCUGACCGCUUCUCCAAAUGCGAAAAUGACAGGUGAAUUGCAACGUGUCAUGUCGUGCCAUGCAGAAACAGAAAGG
Chroicocephalus ridibundus (black-headed gull) is the source of this 2602-nucleotide long non-coding RNA. RefSeq lists it as uncharacterized. The transcript is spliced from 3 exons. Lineage: Eukaryota; Metazoa; Chordata; Aves; Charadriiformes; Laridae. The record is from RefSeq and is a predicted model, not a curated record.